This 1112-nucleotide long non-coding RNA is filed under the name Calidris pygmaea (Spoon-billed sandpiper). Its description in RNAcentral is "lncRNA (ENSCPGG00000002717.1)". Lineage: Eukaryota; Metazoa; Chordata; Aves; Charadriiformes; Scolopacidae. The record is from RNAcentral.
GAAGUAUGAUGAAAAAGAGAGAGAACUGAUUAACAGUUCGUUUUGGCAAGGUCCAGUGAACUGUGCUGUAAUCAAGACACAAAGGACAGGCAAGACAGAAAUAACACACAUUAAAAAUAGAGAUGGAUAUGAAUUUCAAAAGGAACAAUUUUACCCAACUGAAGAAAUUUUAGCUGAGCAGAAAUCCAUCCUGAAAAACAGUUUCAAAUGGACAACUCCCAGAGCUGUUUUAUCCAGCUGUAUUUUUAAUGUAAUAAGUAAAUGCAUUUCCCCAGCUUAAAUUUGGUACUAUUAUACAGUCUAAUGAAAAUUCAUGCUAACAAAAUUAAUGCUGCUUUAUAUUCAAUAUCAAUGUCCUUUGCUAAAAGGGUUCUGUAUAGGACUUAGAGGGUCUUCUAGUCCAGCAUCUUGUCCGAUUUGCCAUUGUCACAGGCUUUGUAUAAUCCCACAUAUAAAUACAGCAAGCUUCACCUUGAGAAGAGUAGAGCUUCUGGAACACGGAUAUUUCUCUAUUUGAAGGUUAUUGGAAAACUUGUCUCAUCUUUCGCUUCAUUCUUCUUUCCAAAUCUGCUUAUUGCUAUUUGUUGUGCCAAUAUUAUUCUUGAGGCAUGUUAGUUUUCUCUCCCUGGUGUUUACCCUGCUGCUGUAUUUUUGUCAAAGUAAGCAAGCAUCGCUUUUCCAGGCAUGUGGCUGUGAAUCUAUUUCUUUUGCCUGGCUAAUUAAGCAGCCAGUCACGUGGCACUUUUUCUCACUAAUAUGAUCUAUCAGGGACUUAUUGGCAACAGACUAUCCUAGCUUGGGCACUGUUAGACACCAUCCAGUUCAGAGGGAGAGACAGACAGAUGGACAGACUCUAGGUUCGUAUGACUUCUGAGAUAUGCUGACUGCUAGUGUGGCUGGCACAGAAGAUUUCUGUGCAAUUGCAAUGCCUUCUUGUCCCUCUUCCUUCCAUUCCAUAGCCAAGCAGUUGCUGUUCUCUGGGGCUUUAUUGGUACAGAACCAAUCCCACAAGAGUGGGACUCAGCCAGGUUUAAAGGUGCACCUUGGAGUAAGAAACCUAAAUGAAACACAUUUUCUUCCCACACAAAGGCUAGAAGCUGUUGCACUGUGAC